This 702-nucleotide ribosomal RNA is filed under the name uncultured Bacteroidota bacterium. RNAcentral describes it as "bacterial SSU rRNA". It matches the Rfam family "Bacterial small subunit ribosomal RNA", at positions 46 to 741 of the family's 1533-position model. Lineage: Bacteria; Pseudomonadati; Bacteroidota. The record is from RNAcentral.
GCCUAACACAUGCAAGUCGAGGGGUAACAGGGAUUGCUUGCAAUCUGCUGACGACCGGCGCACGGGUGCGGAACGCGUAUGGAACCUGCCCCUGUCAGGGGAAUAGCCCAGAGAAAUUUGGAUUAAUGCCCCAUAGUACUAUUUGAUUGCAUGAUUGGAUAGUUAAAGAUUUAUCGGACAGGGAUGGCCAUGCGUACCAUUAGUUAGUUGGUAAGGUAACGGCUUACCAAGGCAGCGAUGGUUAGGGGCCCUGAGAGGGGGAUCCCCCACACUGGUACUGAGACACGGACCAGACUCCUACGGGAGGCAGCAGUGAGGAAUAUUGGACAAUGGUGGGAACACUGAUCCAGCCAUGCCGCGUGCAGGAUGACGGCCCUAUGGGUUGUAAACUGCUUUUAAAUAGGAAGAACUCCACUUACGUGUAAGUGGUUGACGGUACUAUAAGAAUAAGGACCGGCUAACUCCGUGCCAGCAGCCGCGGUAAUACGGAGGGUCCGAGCGUUAUCCGGAAUCAUUGGGUUUAAAGGGUCCGUAGGCGGGCCAAUAAGUCAGAGGUGAAAGGCCACGGCUCAACCGUGGGACUGCCUUUGAUACUGUUGGUCUUGAGUUAUAGUGAGGUUGCCGGAACAUGUGGUGUAGCGGUGAAAUGCAUAGAUAUCACAUAGAACACCGAUCGCGAAGGCAGGUGGCCAACUAUAAACU